RNAcentral lists this ribosomal RNA (447 nucleotides) under uncultured bacterium. Its description in RNAcentral is "partial 16S ribosomal RNA". It matches the Rfam family "Bacterial small subunit ribosomal RNA", at positions 330 to 792 of the family's 1533-position model. The record is from RNAcentral.
CCCAGACUCCUACGGGAGGCAGCAGUGGGGAAUAUUGCACAAUGGGGGAAACCCUGAUGCAGCGACGCCGCGUGGGCGAAGAAGUAUUUCGGUAUGUAAAGCCCUAUCAGCAGGGAAGAAGAAAUGACGGUACCUGAGUAAGAAGCACCGGCUAACUACGUGCCAGCAGCCGCGGUAAUACGUAGGGGGCAAGCGUUAUCCGGAUUUACUGGGUGUAAAGGGGGCGCAGACGGCGAUGCAAGCCAGGAGUGAAAGCCCGGGGCCCAACCCCGGGACUGCUCUUGGAACUGCGUGGCUGGAGUGCAGGAGGGGCAGGCGGAAUUCCUGGUGUAGCGGUGAAAUGCGUAGAUAUCAGGAGGAACACCGGUGGCGAAGGCGGCCUGCUGGACUGCAACUGACGUUGAGGCCCGAAAGCGUGGGGAGCAAACAGGAUUAGAUACCCUUGUA